RNAcentral lists this ribosomal RNA (465 nucleotides) under uncultured bacterium. RNAcentral describes it as "partial 16S ribosomal RNA". It matches the Rfam family "Bacterial small subunit ribosomal RNA", at positions 338 to 795 of the family's 1533-position model. The record is from RNAcentral.
CCUACGGGAGGCAGCAGUGAGGAAUAUUGGGCAAUGGGCGCGAGCCUGACCCAGCGACGCAGCGUGAAGGAUGACUGUCCUAGGGUCGGAAAACUCUGUCAGCAAGGGAGAACGGUCAGUCUGGUAAUCCGCAGUGAAUUUACGUUACGUGCAAGGACCGCCCCAGCUAACUCCGUCCCAGCCGCCACGGUAAUACGGAGGGUGCUAGCGUUAAUCGGAUUUACUGGGAGUAAAGGUCGCGUAGGUGGUAUGUCAAGUCAAUGGUGAAAGUCCCGCGCUCAACGGGGGAACUGCCUUUGAAACUGGCAAACUGGAGUGUGGGAGAGGAUAGCGGAAUUCGAGGUGUAGGAGUGAAAUGCUUAGAUAUCUGGAGGAACAUCAGUGGCGAAGGCGACUAUCUGGCAUAUAACUGACGCUGAGGAGCGAAAGCGUGGGUAGCAAACAGGAUUAGAUACCCGUGUAGUC